GAUGAACGCUGGCGGCGUGCCUAAUAUAUGCAAGUCGAGCGAACGGACGAGAAGCUUGCUUCUCUGAUGUUAGCGGCGGACGGGUGAGUAACACGUGGAUAACCUACCUAUAAGACUGGGAUAACUUCGGGAAACCGGAGCUAAUACCGGAUGAUAUUUUGAACCGCAUGGUUCAAAAGUGAAAGACGGUCUUGCUGUCACUUAUAGAUGGAUCCGCGCUGCAUUAGCUAGUUGGUAAGGUAACGGCUUACCAAGGCAACGAUGCAUAGCCGACCUGAGAGGGUGAUCGGCCACACUGGAACUGAGACACGGUCCAGACUCCUACGGGAGGCAGCAGUAGGGAAUCUUCCGCAAUGGGCGAAAGCCUGACGGAGCAACGCCGCGUGAGUGAUGAAGGUCUUCGGAUCGUAAAACUCUGUUAUUAGGGAAGAACAUAUGUGUAAGUAACUGUGCACAUCUUGACGGUACCUAAUCAGAAAGCCACGGCUAACUACGUG
This 497-nucleotide ribosomal RNA is filed under the name uncultured bacterium. RNAcentral's name for it is "partial 16S ribosomal RNA". It matches the Rfam family "Bacterial small subunit ribosomal RNA", at positions 28 to 507 of the family's 1533-position model. The record is from RNAcentral.